RNAcentral lists this long non-coding RNA (483 nucleotides) under Rattus norvegicus (Norway rat). RNAcentral's name for it is "long non-coding RNA NONRATT005995". The record is from RNAcentral. Lineage: Eukaryota; Metazoa; Chordata; Mammalia; Rodentia; Muridae.
GUCUGUUGUAUACAGUGUCAGUUGUGUAUUGUGUCUGUUGUAUACUGUAUCUGUUGUAUACAGUGUCAGUUUUGGACAAUGUCAAUUGUGUAUUGUGUCUGUUGUGUACAGUGUCAGUUGUGUAUUGUGUCUGUUGUGUACAGUGUCAGUUGUGUAUUGUGUCUGUUGUGUACAGUGUCAGUUGUGUACUUUGUUGUGUAUCUGUUGUGUACUUUGUCUCAGGCCAUUUGGGCUGCAUCCGCAUUUCCGAUGGGAUUUCCGAUGUUUCUGGCCUUUCUUGGGAGAAGAGUCAGGUCAGCCUCUGAGAUGAAAAGCAUAAUGUUUCUCAUCCUUUUCUUCCCGUGUCCCCAUGAAGUUCCUAUCUGUCUACCCAGCCCAGUGCUUUGGUAAGCCUUUCCUAGAAAUGGGGCAACCUCGGUAGCUCCUGAUUUUAUUUUGUGAACCUUUGGCCACUUCAUAAAGAGCUCUUCUGUUGCUAAUGAA